AGAGUUUGAUCCUGGCUCAGAACGAACGCUGGCGGCAGGCUUAACACAUGCAAGUCGAGCGCCCCGCAAGGGGAGCGGCAGACGGGUGAGUAACGCGUGGGAACGUACCCUUUACUACGGAAUAACGCAUGGAAACGUGUGCUAAUACCGUAUGUGCCCUUUGGGGGAAAGAUUUAUCGGUAAAGGAUCGGCCCGCGUUGGAUUAGCUAGUUGGUGGGGUAAAGGCCUACCAAGGCGACGAUCCAUAGCUGGUCUGAGAGGAUGAUCAGCCACAUUGGGACUGAGACACGGCCCAAACUCCUACGGGAGGCAGCAGUGGGGAAUAUUGGACAAUGGGCGCAAGCCUGAUCCAGCCAUGCCGCGUGAGUGAUGAAGGCCCUAGGGUUGUAAAGCUCUUUCACCGGUGAAGAUAAUGACGGUAACCGGAGAAGAAGCCCCGGCUAACUUCGUGCCAGCAGCCGCGGUAAUACGAAGGGGGCUAGCGUUGUUCGGAUUUACUGGGCGUAAAGCGCACGUAGGCGGAUCGAUCAGUCAGGGGUGAAAUCCCAGAGCUCAACUCUGGAACUGCCUUUGAUACUGUCGAUCUGGAGUAUGGAAGAGGUGAGUGGAAUUCCGAGUGUAGAGGUGAAAUUCGUAGAUAUUCGGAGGAACACCAGUGGCGAAGGCGGCUCACUGGUCCAUU
This 682-nucleotide ribosomal RNA is filed under the name Rhizobium tibeticum. It matches the Rfam family "Bacterial small subunit ribosomal RNA", at positions 8 to 738 of the family's 1533-position model. Lineage: Bacteria; Pseudomonadati; Pseudomonadota; Alphaproteobacteria; Hyphomicrobiales; Rhizobiaceae. The record is from RNAcentral.